UACGAAGGGGGCUAGCGUUGUUCGGAAUCACUGGGCGUAAAGGGCGCGUAGGCGGCCUGAUAAGUCGGGGGUGAAAGCCUGUGGCUCAACCACAGAAUUGCCUUCGAUACUGUUAGGCUUGAGACCGGAAGAGGUAAGUGGAACUGCGAGUGUAGAGGUGAAAUUCGUAGAUAUUCGCAAGAAUACCAGUGGCGAAGGCGGCUUACUGGUCCGGUUCUGACGCUGAGGCGCGAAAGCGUGGGGAGCAAACAGG
RNAcentral lists this ribosomal RNA (253 nucleotides) under uncultured bacterium. RNAcentral describes it as "partial 16S ribosomal RNA". It matches the Rfam family "Bacterial small subunit ribosomal RNA", at positions 524 to 776 of the family's 1533-position model. The record is from RNAcentral.